Molecule: ribosomal RNA, 250 nt
Filed under: uncultured bacterium
Lineage: Bacteria
Description: partial 16S ribosomal RNA
Rfam family: Bacterial small subunit ribosomal RNA
Source: RNAcentral
UACGAAGGGUGCAAGCGUUACUCGGAAUUACUGGGCGUAAAGCGUGCGUAGGCGGUUCGUUAAGUCUGUCGUGAAAGCCCUGGGCUCAACCUGGGAAUUGCGAUGGAUACUGGCGGGCUAGAGUACGGUAGAGGAUGGUGGAAUUCCCGGUGUAGCGGUGAAAUGCGUAGAGAUCGGGAGGAACACCCGUGGCGAAAGCGACUUCCUGGUCCAGCACUGACGCUCAGGCACGAAAGCGUGGGGAGCAAAC